This 447-nucleotide ribosomal RNA is filed under the name Clostridioides difficile. RNAcentral's name for it is "bacterial LSU rRNA". It matches the Rfam family "Bacterial large subunit ribosomal RNA", at positions 1769 to 2218 of the family's 2925-position model. Lineage: Bacteria; Bacillati; Bacillota; Clostridia; Peptostreptococcales; Peptostreptococcaceae. The record is from RNAcentral.
UCAGGUGGCCGCAGAGAAUAGGCCCAAGCGACUGUUUACCAAAAACAUAGGUUUCUGCUAAGUCGCAAGACGAUGUAUAGGAGCUGACGCCUGCCCGGUGCUGGAAGGUUAAGGGGAUCUGUUAGAGCAAUCGAAGCAGUGAACUUAAGCCCCAGUAAACGGCGGCCGUAACUAUACCGGUCCUAAGGUAGCGAAAUUCCUUGUCGGGUAAGUUCCGACCCGAACGAAAGGCGUAACGAUUUGGGCACUGUCUCAACAACAGACUCGGUGAAAUUGUAAUUCCGGUGAAGUUGCCGGAUACCUGCGACAGGACGGCAAGACCCCAUGGAGCUUUACUGUAGCUUGACCGUUGGUCUUGGUGAGCCAUGUACCGGAUUCGUGGGAUGCCUUAGAACGAGGACGCCACGAUUGUCCGAGUCUACCCUGGGAUACCCCCCUUGUAAGAAG